ACAGAGGUGGCAAGCGUUGUUCGGAAUUACUGGGCGUAAAGGGCGCGUAGGCGGCCCACUAAGUCAGACGUGAAAUCCCCCGGCUUAACCUGGGAACUGCGUCUGAUACUGGAGGGCUUGAGUAUGGGAGAGGGAUGUAGAAUUCCAGGUGUAGCGGUGAAAUGCGUAGAUAUCAGGAGGAACACCUGUGGUGUAGACGGCUUACUGGACCAUGACUGACGCUGAGGCACGAAAGCGUGGGGAGCAAACAGGA
RNAcentral lists this ribosomal RNA (253 nucleotides) under uncultured prokaryote. RNAcentral's name for it is "partial 16S ribosomal RNA". It matches the Rfam family "Bacterial small subunit ribosomal RNA", at positions 525 to 777 of the family's 1533-position model. The record is from RNAcentral.